GAGACGAGGAUCCUGAGGACGAGG
Molecule: non-coding RNA, 24 nt
Filed under: Arabidopsis thaliana (thale cress)
Lineage: Eukaryota; Viridiplantae; Streptophyta; Magnoliopsida; Brassicales; Brassicaceae
Source: RNAcentral